This 500-nucleotide long non-coding RNA is filed under the name Crocodylus porosus (Australian saltwater crocodile). RNAcentral describes it as "lncRNA (ENSCPRG00005007519.1)". The record is from RNAcentral. Lineage: Eukaryota; Metazoa; Chordata; Crocodylia; Crocodylidae.
GCCCACCUCUGGAAGUCAAGGUGGGGAUGCAUGACCUAAAGCCAAACCUGGAAGCUGUGUAAAUAAAUACGCCUGGUCUAAGAAGGAUGUAGCACUGAAGCCUCAGGAACGCGUGGAGAAGCGUCAGAACCCUCUCGCCAAGAAGAAACGGGAAGCACUUACCAACGGGCUGUCGUUCCACCCAAAAAAGAACAGACUUCACCACCACCAGUACAGCUCGGAUCGAGAAAAUGAUCGUAAUCUUUGCCAGCACCUUGGGAAAAGGAAGAAACUACCAAAGGGCAUCAGACAGCUCAAGCCAGGUCAAAACAGUUGCCGAGACAGUGACAGCGAAAGCGCCAGCGGAGAAUCGAAAGGUUUCCAUCGAAGUAGCUCUCGGGAAAGACUCAGUGACAGCUCAGCUCCUUCCAGCUUGGGAACAGGCUACUUUUGGUCUCAAAUUGCUAAGAACUUCUUCUAUCAUGAACCAGAAAACUGCCGAGAAAUCAUCAGGGCUGUUU